This 238-nucleotide ribosomal RNA is filed under the name uncultured bacterium. RNAcentral's name for it is "partial 16S ribosomal RNA". It matches the Rfam family "Bacterial small subunit ribosomal RNA", at positions 96 to 334 of the family's 1533-position model. The record is from RNAcentral.
UGGCGAACGGGUGAGUAACGCGUGGGUAACCUGCCUCAUACAGGGGGAUAACAGUUAGAAAUGGCUGCUAAUACCGCAUAAGACCACGGUACUGCAUGGUACAGUGGUAAAAACUCCGGUGGUAUGAGAUGGCCCCGCGUCUGAUUAGGUAGUUGGUGAGGUAACGGCCCACCAAGCCGACGAUCAGUAGCCGACCUGAGAGGGUGACCGGCCACAUUGGGACUGAGACACGGCCCAG